AAAGAUUAAGCCAUGCACGUCUCAGUGUAAGCAAUUUAAACUGUGAAACUGCGGAUGGCUCAUUAGCUCAGUUAUAAUUUAUUUGAUAAUGAUUUACUACUUGGAUAACUGUUGUAAUUCAAGAGCUAAUACAUGCGUAAAGGUCCAACUCGAGAGGGAAGGACUGUGUUUAUUAGAUCGAAAACCAGCGGGGUGAGGUGGUGGUUUCGGCCAUUUCAUCUCAUCCAUUAGUUGUUGGUGAAUCAUGAUAAAUGUCGAAUCGGGUGCAAGCUCGAUGUGUCAUUCAAAUUUCUGCCCUAUCAACUGUUGAUGGUAGGAUAGGGGCCUACCAUGGUUUUGACGGGUAACGGAGAAUUAGGGUUCGAUUCCGGAGAGGGAGCCUGAGAGAUGGCUACCACUUCCAAGGAAGGCAGCAGGCGCGCAAAUUACCCAAUCCCAAUCAUCUUGGGGAGGUAGUGACAAAAAAUAAUAAUGCAGGGAUCUUAGGGUCUACUGCAAUUGUAAUGGUCCAAAUGUAAAUUGUUUGGAGAGCAGCCAUUAGAGGGCAAGUCUGGUGCCAGCAGCCGCGGUAAUUCCAGCUCUAAUAGUGUAUAUUAAAAUUGCUGCAGUUAAAAAGCUCGUAGUUGGAUUUUGGAGGAGACAGUAUACUUACAGGUUUUUCGCUACGCUUCUUCGUUCGUGAUGGUGUUCCUUCCAAAAGGCGCCGUUUGCGACGGUUGCGCGGCCCUGUCGGUUGUCUUUUCCGGUAUUUUUCGGAGUCACGUGUCUUGCUUUACUGUGGGCCAUGUGGAUUCGGAGAGUUUACUUUGAAGAAAAUGUAGUGUUCAAAGCAGGCGUUUCGCAGCUGAACACUUUAGCAUGGAAUAAUAAAAUAGGACAACUGUGUGCUUCUACCAGUUCCGGUCGGUGUACAUUUUUGCUCAUGGCACCCUGCGAAAGCAGGUGUUUUUGUUGUGUGCGGGUGUGCAUGUCUGGUCGGUUCAACGGGGGAGUUCUACGUUUAUUGUAUCCGUUUUGUUGGUUCAUGGAGCAGUUGUAAUGAUUAAUAGGGACAGUUGGGGGCAUCUGUAUUGCAUUGUCAGAGGUGAAAUUCUUGGAUUUAUGCAAGACAAACUAGUGCGAAAGCAUUUGCCAAGGAUGUUUUCAUUAAUCAAGAACGAAAGUUAGGGGAUCGAAGGCGAUCAGAAACCGCCGUAGUCUUAACCAUAAACGAUACCAUCUUGGUUUUAAAGGGUUUUGCCUAUUUAUGGCCCCGUUAGCGCCAUUAGAGAAAUCAAAGUCUCUGGGUUCUGGGGGGAGUAUGGCUGCAAAGCUGAAACUUAAAGAAAUUGACGGAAGGGCACCACCAGGUGUGGAGCCUGCGGCUUAAUUUGACUCAACACGGGGAAACUUACCAGGUCCGGACACGAGAAGGAUUGACAGAUUGAUAGCUCUUUCUUGUUUUCGUGGGUGGUGGUGCAUGGUCGUUCUUAGUUGGUGGAGUGAUUUGUCUGGUUAAUUCCGAUAACGAACGAGACCUCAAUCUGCUUAAUAGGCGGGCAACGGGCUUCUUGCUCGAUGCCUAUUAGCCUUCUUAGAGAGACUACCUAAGUUGCAUUAGGGGGAAGCAUGAGGCAAUAACAGGUCUGUGAUGCCCUUAGAUGUCCUGGGCUGCACGCGCGCUACACUGAUGCAGUCAACAAGUUUGUUCAAGCCCGAAAGGGCAAGAUAAUCUUUUCAAACUGCAUCGUGCUGGGGAUUGAUCUUUGUAAUUUUGGAUCAUGAACGAGGAAUACCUAGUAAGUGCAAUUCACCAGAUUGCGCUGAUUACGUCCCUGCCCUUUGUACACACCGCCCGUCGCUCCUACCGAUUGAAUGAUCAGACAAAAUGCUUGGAUUGUGCGUUUGUGGAUGCUUCUGUGUUUACGAAUGUGCGAGAAGAGUAGUAAAUCUUAUUAUUUAGA
RNAcentral lists this ribosomal RNA (1943 nucleotides) under Saccinobaculus doroaxostylus. Its description in RNAcentral is "SSU rRNA". It matches the Rfam family "Eukaryotic small subunit ribosomal RNA". The record is from RNAcentral. Lineage: Eukaryota; Preaxostyla; Oxymonadida; Saccinobaculidae.